AGUGGGAGAGGUUGAUGCCCAACCCGUUCUUACCUCAGUGGAAAGUUUUGUACUUCAACUAUCACGAUAUCUACUCAUGCCUUACAUGCCAGCUCUAUGAUUAUAGUUCGUAUUUGUGCACCUUAUCAAAAAUUAUAUACGUUUACAAUUUCUAGUAUAAGGAGUUCCAGAUUCCUCAAUGUUACGAAUCAUGUUCCAUGAAUACAG
This 207-nucleotide long non-coding RNA is filed under the name Capsicum annuum. Its description in RNAcentral is "long non-coding RNA (CANN_LNC006602)". Lineage: Eukaryota; Viridiplantae; Streptophyta; Magnoliopsida; Solanales; Solanaceae. The record is from RNAcentral.